Non-coding RNA from Rattus norvegicus (Norway rat), 4984 nucleotides. The record is from RefSeq and is a predicted model, not a curated record. Lineage: Eukaryota; Metazoa; Chordata; Mammalia; Rodentia; Muridae.
UUCCAUGGAACAGACCAUUUGGUGGUAUUUCUUUGUACAAAGAUCCAUUCGUGAAGCCAAGAAACACAACAAAAUGGAACUUCCCAUGCGGAUAUUCACUGAGAACAUUGCAGGCUGUGACACUCCUCUGUAUGUAACAGCAACAAACUUUGAAAUGGUGAAUGACAUAAUCAGCAAGUUACUACCAAUGAUAAGAAAGCAUAACAUUGAAGAUUACCAACUGUGGUUCUGUACUGGCCCUGGGAAAGCUCCAAGAGUACUCUAGGGGCAUGAGUGUCCGCAUGACUUUAGAAUGAUAAAUAUUCAAAAGAACUUCAGUUCACGGGACUUAAGAAAUUUUACAGCUUUUCCUUCCCUACCUGGGGUAAUCAUGAAAUAUCUAAACGCUGAUGUACAUGGGAAAUUCAUCUUGAAGCCCAGAAACUCAGCAAGAAGCCAGUAGCAAAAGAAUAUGAAGGAAAAAACUUUUAAGAAACGAAGAACUUCUAUAACAUCGCAGUUGGACAAGGGCUCUGUGCCCCACAGGACCAAGUAUGCACCACCCCACCAUUUAAAAAGGGAAGAAAACUGUUUGGAAGAGAACUCAGUUCCAUUUGUCAGGAUGGCAUCCUGCCUGCAGCAAUUCUGGACAUGCUGUAUCUACUAAAAAAGAACGGGCUCACAACCACGGGUGUCUUUUUAGAACCUCCGAGUACAACUUUGUGCCAAACAGUAAAGGACAAAUUGGAUUCGGAAGAGGAGGUGGAUAUAAACAAGCAAUCAGUUAAUGUAGUGGCGUGGAUCUUUAAGGACUUCCUCCAAAACCUCAAGGGAAGUCUGAUGGCUUCAAAACUAUAUGAUGAGUGGAUUGCUGUACCCGAAACGGUCAAUAUGAAGAGAAAUUAGCUGCAGUGCAGAGUCUUUUAGAUAAAAUGCCACCUGAAAAUGCAGCUCUUCUGAGGCAACUUUUUUGUAUAUUAUAAGAAAUUAAAAGUAACUGUUCUGUUAAUGAAAUGUCUUCAGACCACCUAUCUGUUGGGUUAGCCCCAUGUCUCUUAUUUGUGCCCAGCUCCUGCAAUAAUGGAGUGACAAAUGAUAUUGGCAAAAGGAUUUCUCUAGUAGAAUUUAUGAUUGAAAAUUCUCCAAAAGUUUUUGGAGAGGCCUUGGCUGCAAUGUGGCAUGGAAUAUCACUAUAUCAUCCUCCUGGAGGAAAGUCCUCAUGUUCCCAGAAUAAUGGAACAAAUAUUGGAAACAUUAAGGAAACCGAACAUGGACUCAGCAGCUUCCUCAUUGGGAGGACAUGCACUACUGGCUAUAAUACAAUGCCGAAAAGUCCAGCUGCUCCUCUUCUCUAUGAGGGCCUUAUAGAUUCACAAAAACACAAAUGCAAUAUAUAUACUAACCCAAGAGUAACAUCUAUUAAUCCAUGACAAGCAAAACAGAAAUGUUUGUUUGGCAAAUCUCUUUAGGGUCUUUUAGAAGACAAAAAGUUGCCUACUCCAAAACUUGGCUUCAGCUCCUUCCUGCCCCCCACCAGCAGCCCUAGUGAACACUGCCAGGCCAAGCAAGGCGUGGGGCUGACCUGGACUCCCAGCUCUGAGGAGAUCAGCCCUACAAAAUUUCCUGGAUUGUACCAGACAGGUGAGCCUUCACCUCCCCAUGACAUCCUCCACGAGCCUCCUGAUACCGUGUCAGAUGAUGAGAAAGACCAUGGAAAGGAAAAAGGAAAAUUUAAGAAAAAGGAGAAAAGGACUGAAUGCUAAGCUGCGUUCUAGGAAGACAGCUCUGGAGAUGAAGCUGAAAGUCCUUCCAAGAUGAAGAGGUCCAAGGGAAUCCAUGUGUUCAAAAAGCCCAGCUUCUCUAAAAAGAAGGAAAACGAUUUUAAAAUCAAAGAAAAGCCCAAAGAAGAAAAGCAUAAAGAGGAAAAGCACAAAUAGGAAAAGCAUAAAGAAAAGAAAUGUAAAGACUUGACAGAAGCCAAUGUUGUUAAAGAGUGGAAGGAAAAGAAGAAAAAGAAGAAGCCAACUCAGGAGUCAGAGGUGCCUCAGACGGACGUCCCAAGUCUCAGACUCAUUUUCGGCGUUGCCUUGGCUGACGCAGUAGAGAGGACCAUGAUGUAUGACGGCAUCCGGCUGCCAGCUGUCUUCCGAGAGUGCGUGGACUACAUGGAGCAGCAUGGCAUGAAGUGUGAAGGCAUCUACCGAGGGUCAGGAGUCAAAUCAAAGGUAGAUGAGCAGCCUGUGACCCAGAGGAGUCUCCAAACUUGGAAGAAUAUGACCCUAACACUGUAGCCAGCUUGCUGAAGCAGUAUUUGCGAGACCUUCCAGAGAAUUUGCUUACCAGAGAGCUUAUGCUCCGAUUUGAAGAGGCUGGUCAGCAGAGGACCACAGAGACGGAGAAAGUGCAGGAGUUCCCUAACUGCCGGAGUAUAACCAUCUUCUGCUUUCCUGGCUCAUUGUGCACAUGGACCACAUCAUUGCGAAGGAGAUAGAAACCAAGAUGAACGUCCAGAACAUCUCUCUAGUGCUGAGCCCAACUGUCCAAACCAACAAUCGGGUCCUGUAUGUGCUUUUCACACACGUGCAAGAGCUCUUUAGCACCGUAGUCCUGAAGCAAGUAACAAGACCUCUGUGUUGGUCCAACAUGGCCACAAUGCUUACACUGCCAGAGACCCAAACAGGUAUCAAGGAAGAGAUCAGGAGACAGGAGUUCCUUUUGAACUGUUUACAUCGAGAUCUGCAGCACGGGAUAUAGGACUCAUCUAAAGAAUCCUCUGUACUAUGGGAAGUACAGAGGAUUCUGACUGCCCUCAAGAGAAAGCCGAAGGAAGCUAAAAGACAAGAGUGUGAGACCAAGAUUUCCCAGGACAUAGCCAGCCUUUUGAACGAGGAUGUUGCCAAAGAAGAAAUGGACGAAAAUGAGGAGGUCAAAAAUAUCCUCCCUGCCCAGGAGAAUGAGAUCCUGACUGAGCAGGAGGAGGUCCUGGCCAUGGAGCAGUUUCUGCGCAGUCAGAUCGCCUCGGAGAAAGAAAAGAUCCACUGCCUCCGAGCUGAGAUUGCGGAGAUCCAGUCACCAGCAUGGCUGCAGCGAGACAGAGAAGCCCUCUUCUGACAGCGAGUGAGAAAGCAAGGAUGAGGAGGAGCUGCAGAUCAUUCUGGAAGACUUAGAGAGGCAGAAUGAAGAGUUAGAAAUAAAGAACAAUAAAUCACUUGAACCAAGCGGUCGGUGAAGAACGGGAGGCCAUCGUUGAGCUCUGAGUGCAGCUCCAGUUGCUCCAGAGGCAGCGAGCCAAGUCUGAGCAACAGCUCCAGGAGGAGGAGGAGGAGCCUGAGAGGUGAGGGGCACAGGCCCACUGCCCUGUGAAGGUGUCCUUGAGGUGAUAGCAGCCAAGGAGCAGGUGAAACCCUCGCCCAGCAAAGACCCGAAGGAGACGCAUCUGAACUGCCCCGGCCCUGUGCAUCAUAGUGUAAGCGAGAGUCCACUGCCUGUCCUGCCCGGCAGCGUUCUGUAAAGGCUCUCAGAGACGCUCACUCUUGCACACGUCUGACUCCGUGUCAGGCUCAGGUCCUGGGAGGGUGAAGCGGUGGACACUCGGGGGUGGAGGGCUUGCAGGGAACACAGGCAUUUCCAGAUAGUGUCAGCUUAUUUGAAAAUUAAUUGUCUUUGAUAAAAAUAACUAUUUUCACCCUUGAGUGGCUUCUUUUUAAACCAAAAAACUUUUUGCUUUUUUUUUUUUGUUUUGUUUUGUUUUUUGUUGUUGUUGUUGUUGUUUAAAUCACAGUAGAAUCAGGAUCUCUUUCUUAUCAAAGGGUAUGAACCAAACUAGGUCACUUCUGUGCCUGCCUUGUGGACGCUCGUGGUGUCACCAGCCCUGCAGGGUCCCUGGCCACUCUUGCUCGUGCCUUCCACACCUUUUGGUGCAGAUUGUUCAAUGGGGAGCUGCCUCAUAUUCUCUGACUGGCCAAAAAGGCUUUCGCUGGGAUUCCCUGUACCUGCCCUGUGUGUACCACUUUGCUUUUCCAGCUCGGGGUCUGUCAGUGUGAGUCAGGAUAACCCAGUUUGGUUGCAGAUGGAGGUUAUCAUGCAGCCUGCCACCAGCCUGGGCAGCGCAGGCCACCCACUCACUGCCAGGGAGCAGCAAGGGCCUCUUCUCAGAGGUGGCCCUGAGGUUGCACAGGACGCUUCUCACACCAGAGUCCUUUUCCACACUGACCUUCCAGGAAAGUCACCUUCCACAGUGACUUCAGUUGCUAGCUUGGGCUGGGAUACCCACACCUCUGCCAGGAAAAGCAAUGUAGAUGCUCUCAUGCACAACUUUCACCUGUCCAUGUCAUCUCAAGGGGCUGCUUAAGGACUCUGACAGAACUGAGCGGAAGGAAGGAAAGCAUAACUGUAAUUGACCCGACCUGGUGUUUGCCUCUAGCCCAGACAACUGGUCCCAGCGGUCUGGGAGGCCUGACUCUUAGGCAACCGGAUUUCACUGUCAGAUGAGUGGCCCCCAGGGAGGUCCCCUGUGGCUCUGAAGACAGAUCCCACACUCUAAAGUGAGCAACAAACCCACAGGAGGGCUCCAGUCUACUCCUAGUUAGUAUUUAUUUCAGCACCUGUUUUGUGCGAUUUUUCAUUAGCCUCUACCUGUUGCACUGUGGUGACUUGUUGGCCAUUAUUUGAUUUCUCUAUGAAAAAAAAGAUUUGUUAUAGAAAUCAGCAUACUAUUUUUUUAAAUCUGGAGAGAAGAUGUUAUGGAGACUGGAAACAUGAUCAGGUGUCAAAUGAAAAUGUAUAAAUGCAUUGCUGCACCUGUUAGAUGUGCGACACUCAUUCUCUAUUUGCUGGCAAUAUCGAAGAAUUCUUUUUGUUUGUGUAAACUCUAAUUUCUAUCAACGUGUCAUGGGUUUUUAAAAUUUCAUUACAAAUGUCUCAGUGUUGGUUAACUAAUUUUUGCCAGGACCAUUAUUGAUUAAGGAAAUAAAUUCAGCAGCCAUUUGAGAAAAAAAAAAAAGAA